ACCCAGUUAAAAAGAGUGCGUUGUGUAGAACAGUCAUAAGCAGUCCGCUAAGAGAUUAGUAGCAACUACGAAGUGAAGUCGCAAACAUGUGCAAGGCUGUUGUAGAUUGUAAAGAAAGAAUGAAGGAUUGGAAGAGUGUGAGGAGACGCUGAGCAAACGGCCUUCAAAUCGAAAGUGGUGUGAGUCAUGGGCGCUGCCACCAUCUAUGCGAAAAGCCCACCAAGCAUUGGUCACGGAGCACACUCGUUUCCUGCUCCUCGCACGUUAAUGGCAACGAUGAUGAGGAACGGAACACAAACAAGAAACUACGUCGCAGUGGGUCACUGAAUGAAUCCGCGUCCCGGUAGCAACAAUAGUUCGACUAUGGCUGGUACUGGUAAAGAAGAAUCCCGAACACGAUCGUCGCAGUGACGAUGACGUUGCGUUGUAGAAUUACUGAGUGAGUCUCAACGUCUGUCCGAGUCCCCCCACGUCCACCGCCAGGCACUGAGUUCCGCAAACCAGCCGAUGGCCGAUUCUACACAGAUCGCCGGAGCAGGGAGCAGCAGCAGCAAACACCACCGAGUCUCCUCUGCAUGCCAAUGCCCAUGCAAUUCAGUCGCAGCGGACAGAACAUUGGGGACAAGGCGGAAUGCGCGCGGCAGCAGCUCCAGCUCGCAUCAGCUUACCUGCGUUUGAAGCUCUCGUGCUGUUGCCAACCACCGACAAUCACCACCUAUUCUGCAUUGAACGCUUCGCAGCUGCUGAUCACCACCCACCCAUCCGCACAGAUACACGGUAUUUGGUAUAUCAGCUGCGAACAAAAUAUUGCUUUUUAAACAAAAUUCCAGAGAAAAGAACAGCGGAGCAUUCAUUUAUCAUCGAAACGACAUUGAGGAACUGCUGUAAUCCUUUCGGGUGAACACCGUGUGCGAUUGUUAUUGUGAUAUACAAUUGAAAGGCAGUCGUCGAGUUUUUAUCUUUCUGUCUUCGCUCGGUACACUUUUCUGGACUUCUCUUUCACCGUUUGUGAUUUUGGCAAGCGAUUAUUGGACCCCUUUCCAUUCAAACUCCCCAUCUUCCUAAUCAAUAGGCUAGAUAAGGCCGCUUAAAUCUUUGUAGCUGCAUGUCACAGUUGAUCGGUUCCUGUGGGUGCUUUUGUUUGAUGGGAUUGCUUUGCGGUCUUCAAGUAUUCACGGUCUUGAGGGCUCCAGACGAGGAUCUUUCCAGCAAAUCUAUGCGCAAGCAGGCGUCAAAGAGUUUGUAGACUAGGCACGACCAUCACAUUUCGUUUUUUUUUUUUUUUUAUAGCGUUGCAUCGCAGUUGAUCGGUGCCUGCGGGCAUGUAUAAAUGGAAUCUAGCGAGGCGGAAGAUUGAGGUCUUCAAUUCUAUGGCCCCAAACAACGCUCCUGCGACAUCAAUCCCUCAAUUAGAAUAUGUGCAAAGAAGCAUAACUAAUCAACUGAACAAGCGUAAAAGCUAAGAUAUAUGCAACCGAUAUCUUUUCUUUCGUAUUUUGUAGAAAUACAUUUUCAUGGACUGAUAAUCUACAGAGAAUACCAACUCGGCGCUAUGGGCCCGCCCAAUACAUGUAAAUUUGUGAUUUUAUGUCCAAAAUAUUUUUUGUCUUGUAGCAUUAUGGGUGCAGUUGAAUGUACCUGCCCAUAAUUAAAGCCUGCAAAUCAAGAGUUAUUGUUAAACGCAAGAGGGAACAUUUUGAACAGACUCAAAUCUGUACACGGCCUCUGUAAGGAAUGUGCAAUCGAUACCCUUUUCUCUCGUAUUUUAUAGAAAUACAUGUUGUGGAACAGUUUAGAUGCUAUGGAAUUGUACCACGUAGUUGGACCACCACACAAAUUUAAUUAAAGUAUGGAGAAAAACUUUUUUCUGUUUUCAAGCUGUUCCCGUUGAAUGUGCCUGCCCACAUCUCAUCUAUAGCUUCUGAGUAAAUCCAACAGCGAACCGUCUAUUCUUGGGACUUUAACAGCGUUUGAGAAAUGACGCUUAUUUAUGAAUUCAUUGCAGUGUUUAUACAGAGACAUCGGUUUCAAGCAACCAGUCUUAUCAAUCACAUAGUUGACAUACCAGUGCACAUUUGCCUGUAUUAAAACCAACCGAGAACAUGUAGCAAAAUUUCUUGAGGCAAUGGGAAUCAAAUGCCAACUUGAAAGCAAUAACACCAACACUAAGUCGUCGCAGUCCAACAUCCAUACUACACGGCGAAUUCGAAUUGAAGACGCUGGUCAGGUCUGAACCCAACUAGAACCCGCUUACACCUGUUUUUCAGCAAUUUUUCUGGUCAGGAUGUGGAUUAUCUGUCACAGAAACUUCGUUUGUCUUGAGCGUCGCUAAGAUUGGCCGUUUGACCCUCCCAAAAGUGAGAUUCUAAGCAGCCUUAAAUUUAUUUUACAAUUCUUACAGCGGUGCCGCACAGUUGAGUGUGCCUGUGGGCAUCGACUAAGCAAUAUUUGAACCGAAGGGCAGGGCAGUGGACCGUUCCGUUGAUGAUGAUGUGCACCGCUCCGAGCUGGCUAAGUCUACUGCUGUGCUGCUGCAAAUCGUUAAAGGGAACCCAAAACGAUGCAUCAAGUCCAUCCAGUUAGGCUUCUCUUCCAAAGCACAGCUCACCUGCGCUACAACGACAACCAAUUCAAUCGCACCUGCUUCUGCAAGCGAUCACAAUACGUCAAAUGAGCAUCGAGCACAGAAAGCAAGCAAACAACCAGGUUAAUGGCUUCCUCUGCUGACUAUGAAACUAUACGCCUUUACAUUGCAGCCAAGAAGCCUCUUAGUGCAUAUUCAACUACCAGCACAGAGCUUCUCAAUGACUGGAGUAAGCAUUGUUCUGACCGCAUCGGACCCUGACCGAGUCCGACUUGGGUGCCUCUGGUCGCAAGAUCUACAUUAGGACAGAGCCAGAAUAGGAGCGCUUAUCUAGCGCCAUGAUGUGCUGAGCUGAACCUAAGCACGUACUGCAUUGCACCGCACAGAUAUGUGCGUUCGGUCCACGCUAAAGGGAAUCAAAUGCGUUUGGACCGAGAGCCGAUACACCGCACCAUCACCAGUAUUCGCUGUGAAGUGAGCUGAUGUGUUGUCGUUGUUACAGGGCUGCUGCUGCAACUGCUCCACAGGUAUCCUCGCCUAGCGUCGGUAACUAUCAUUUGUCAAUUUUAGCGGCCGGCAGUGUACAUCAAACAUUGAAGUCCGGAGUCCGGAGUGGCAUGUAAUUAACGGCAGAUGUGAAACCAGCAAAUGGUGCUCAAGCAUUCCAUUUUAAAUCUGAAGAUUGUCAGCAGUAACAGUUAAAGACUAUCGACGCAGACUUGCAGAACGAAGCGCAGGAAGGACAAAGCACUUCGAUCACCAGCGGGUUGUCGUUUUACUUGCACUUUCCUUCCGUAGGUAGCCCAGAAUUCGAGAAAGCCCAUAUCCAUCGCAAAGGGAAACAAAUGCGAUUAGUGUUUGAAGACCAAGCUGGGUGUCCAAUGUGUCGCACCACGAUUAGCCAGUUGAGCCCAUAACUCCUGGCCCGCCGAUCAUCGUACCGCAAAAGGGAAUCAAAUGCGAGGUGGUACUACAGCAGUCGAGCUCCUCGUUGAGCUCCUGGUUUAAGUCGAACUCCCAACUGAGCUCCUGGUCGAGUUCUUCGCUUCAGCGUUUUUAUCGUAAAGGGAAUCCAACGCGAUGUACAGCGACAGCGGCAGGCAGGGUCACCCAAUACACAAAGGUAUACCAAUAUGAUCAGAGUUCCAGUCCGUGCAAUUACGCUUUUCAGAACCUCUCAAAAACUAAUCUGCACGUGUCUAAAUCUGGCUGCCAUGCCAGGCGCGACAUCAAUCAUAUUCGCCAUGUUGGUCUCAAAGGGAAUCCAAGAGACACGCGCCCCGCGGUACAACCAACUGAAGACCAAAUAGAUUUUGUUAUGCAUUUAUAACCAAGCAUUUUAGAAGUCAUAUCCUCAUAAUUUUUUCCUUUAGUGUUUCCAAAUCUAUGUAUUCUAAACGAAUCGUUUCAUUAUCUUGUAGGCUUUUAUAAACCUUUAAUUUAUUACUUGUAAACCUUUCCUCUAAGAGUCAAUGCAGACAUCCGACUUCGCUGACGAUUGCAUCGGGACUGCAUUACCCUAGGAUAGACGGUCCGGUCUAGAAGUAGCAGCAAGAGUCAGUUAAAUAUCAGUACCGCUAUUAGCAGAAGAUUCAUGGCAGUAAGAUGAUGUGGAUGCACCGUACAUAGACGUUUCAAACUGCAGAGGAUCGUUUGACCCCCGAACCAAGGCAGGGAGACCAUACAUACACAGGCGGAGGCAGUGCUGACCCUCAAUACAUUCGAGUAUUUCAACACUCUACCUUUUACCUAUAUUUACUGGGCAUUCAAUCACCAAAUUCGCAUCCUGGGUCUAUUUGGAGCAUAUUAAGAACGAACACUACACGGCGUAGGAGCACCACACGAUUUGGUCAUUUUUAUUAUGAGAAGUCCUAAAAUCCUCCUCGGAUCAUUCCUCAUUAUCUGCAUUUGGAGCAACAAGUAGGCUGGAGGUAUCAUUUCUUCACUAAGCACCAUCGAUUUCACACUACUGGCUUGGGAUAGCACCUAAUUCUUUACGAGUUUCGGCACUGAUGACGACUUCAAUCCUUGUUUCAACCCGUACCCCUUCGAACCAAUAUAAAAGUUGGAUUGCAUACAGCUUUCGCUUCGCUACACACUGGUCGAUUCUUUUUCUUUGUGAGGACCCUUCGUGAGGAUAUUAGAUUUGUUGAAGAAUGAUUCUCUAACUUGGACUGCGGCGUGGGAUUCAGUCUAAUUUAACCAUCGACAGCGGCCUAGGAGUAAAUUUGGACAGCGGCGUGGGAUUUUCGGCUCUCAAAGACGACGGCGGCGGACGUACGGAUAGUUCAGACUGCGGCGAGGGAUAUCAAGUUUUUGCAACGCGGGAUUAUUAGGGCGUUUAGGCCAGGGCGCUAGGAACCAUAUUCUUAAGACUACUGGAAUUUACAUCAAUGGAGAUGACUGCGGCGUGGGAGACGGAGAUCGGGACUGCAGCGAGGGAUCGAGGUUCUGGACAGCGGCGCGGGAUUCUUAUAAGAUUGGACGGCGGCGUGGGACCUUUUUUGACGGCAGCGUGGGAGUUUAGGACUGCAGCGCGGGAAUUUCUGACGGCGGCGAGGGAUCCUCGGUUUAAUUUUUCGGCAAUUGGUCAGCCAUCGCAUUCCAUAUACAUGCGUGUCACUCCAUUUAUUGAUAGUUCAAAGCUGAUAUACUUAGGUGGCGUGAUCAGCGUAAUCACGCCUCCAAAAAUACGCAUCCCUGAUUAUCCCUUAUAUGGAAAAUCUUCAUUGAAUAUACAUUUAUUUACACUUCUGGAAUACCGGAAAGCAACCCCAAUACUUAUGCCGAUGAUUCUAAUACAUGAAACGAUUUAAGAUCACAAUAAAUUGAUUUUUGAAAAG
This 5427-nucleotide long non-coding RNA is filed under the name Drosophila melanogaster (fruit fly). RNAcentral's name for it is "long non-coding RNA:CR42862 (Dmel_CR42862)". Lineage: Eukaryota; Metazoa; Arthropoda; Insecta; Diptera; Drosophilidae. The record is from RNAcentral.